RNAcentral lists this ribosomal RNA (437 nucleotides) under uncultured bacterium. RNAcentral describes it as "partial 16S ribosomal RNA". It matches the Rfam family "Bacterial small subunit ribosomal RNA", at positions 28 to 507 of the family's 1533-position model. The record is from RNAcentral.
GAUGAACGCUGGCGGCAUGCUUAACACAUGCCAGUCGGACGGGAAGUGGUUUAUCGAGUGGCGUACGGGUGAGUAACGGGCAAGAACCUGCGGUAGGGAGGGGAACAACAACUGGAAACGGUUGCUAAUACGCCGUAGGCUGAGUAGCAAAAGGUGGAACCCGCCCGAGGAGGGGCUUGCGCUUGGUUAGCUAGUUGGUUAGGUAAUAGCUUACCAAGGCGAUGAGUAGUAGGUGGUCCGAGAGGAUGAUCAGCCACACUGGGACUGAGACACGGAGCAGACUCUUACGGGAGGCAGGAGUGGGGAAGAUUCCGCAAUGGGGGAAAGGCUAACGGGGCAAUGCGGCGGGGAGGUAGAAGGCCCAGGGAAGGAGAGCUGCUGUUCUCGGAGAAGAUGCAAUGACGGUAUCUGAGGAAUAAGCACCGGCUAACUCUGUG